GACGAACGCUGGCGGCGUGCUUAACACAUGCAAGUCGAACGGAAAGGCCCUGCUUUUGUGGGGUGCUCGAGUGGCGAACGGGUGAGUAACACGUGAGUAACCUGCCCCUGACUUUGGGAUAACUUCAGGAAACUGGGGCUAAUACCGGAUAGGAGCUCCUGCUGCAUGGUGGGGGUUGGAAAGUUUCGGCGGUUGGGGAUGGACUCGCGGCUUAUCAGCUUGUUGGUGGGGUAGUGGCUUACCAAGGCUUUGACGGGUAGCCGGCCUGAGGGGGUGACCGGCCACAUUGGGACUGAGAUACGGCCCAGACUCCUACGGGAGGCAGCAGUGGGGAAUAUUGCACAAUGGGCGGAAGCCUGAUGCAGCAACGCCGCGUGCGGGAUGACGGCCUUCGGGUUGUAAACCGCUUUCGCCUGUGACGAAGCGUGAGUGACGGUAAUGGGUAAAGAAGCACCGGCUAACUACGUG
This 468-nucleotide ribosomal RNA is filed under the name uncultured bacterium. RNAcentral describes it as "partial 16S ribosomal RNA". It matches the Rfam family "Bacterial small subunit ribosomal RNA", at positions 28 to 507 of the family's 1533-position model. The record is from RNAcentral.